CAGUAUUCGCGCCACUCUUUUGUUCAUUCAUGACCUGGUGGCGAAGAAGAGAGAUACGGGAGCUGUUUGUUGGAACAUGUAAACUACGUACGUAUUCAUUUGCCGAUCAAUGAAACAACCAAGCGUGGUCGACACUUGGAUUUCCCGCCAUUUAAAUUUCCGUGUGAAAUGUAGUGAGGGCGUUCAGCAGUUGUGGAUUUGCAUAGGUUUGAAUGUAUUGUGUUGUAAAAUACUCUCAAGCGAAGAACUUGAUUUGUUUGGUCCACUUUGAUGUACACAGUACCGUUACUUUCAUUUCAUGCAAUUGCUCUGCUUGGUCCACUUUGAUUUGAGCAAUUUCAACUUGAAUUCAGGUAAUUUUGUUUAUCAUAAUUGAUACAAGUAAAGUCAAGUAACUGAUUUGCUUACUAUAGAUA
This is a long non-coding RNA of Lingula anatina, 416 nucleotides long. The record is from RefSeq and is a predicted model, not a curated record. NCBI's taxonomy places the organism in Eukaryota, Metazoa, Brachiopoda, Lingulata, Lingulida, Lingulidae.